RNAcentral lists this long non-coding RNA (614 nucleotides) under Zalophus californianus (California sea lion). RNAcentral's name for it is "lncRNA (ENSZCAG00015000307.1)". Lineage: Eukaryota; Metazoa; Chordata; Mammalia; Carnivora; Otariidae. The record is from RNAcentral.
GGAGAAGUAGGCUUCCUGCUCAGCAGGGAUCAUGACCUGAGCUGAAGGCAGAUGCCCAAAGACUGAGCCACCCAGGCGCCCUGGAAAAGAGAUUUUCUAAUGAGGAAGCAUUUUGUUCUAGGACUGAUGGUAGCCACCUUCUAACCACAAGAAGAGUCAGUCUGAAGAAAACAGAGGAUGGCAGAGUUCAAAGAAGAGCAGAGAAAUAGAUCUCCAGCUCCAAUGGUGUACAUUGAGGAAUCUGUCCUCUCCGACAGACAAGAUUCCCCAGCACACAUCCAACAGUGAUGCUCCCUGCCAAGGAAACAAUCUGCUUGAUUCUCAUCCAGGAGCACUGAGAGGAGGGGGGCCGCCUUUAUGUCCUCUCCUAUCUUCGUCAAGCCAUAUGCAACUGGCAGCCACCACACUUCUCUCUGUGGGAAGAGGAUAAUCAGAGCUGGAUUCCUGAAUGAAAGGAGGAACAUGCAGAGUCGCCUGCCUCCCGUCCAAUGGUAGUGGAAUCCUUGUGGCCUGACUCAGUCCGGAGCUCGUCUGAAGUCCGUGGCUUUUAGGGACCGGGAUGGGCUCUCAGAUUCAGAGUUAGAGGGACCUGGGUUCAAGUCUCGCCUUUUGGG